Aedes albopictus (Asian tiger mosquito) is the source of this 46-nucleotide non-coding RNA. The record is from Rfam. Lineage: Eukaryota; Metazoa; Arthropoda; Insecta; Diptera; Culicidae.
CCAAAGGCUCUUUUCAGAGCCAUCCACUUGAGAGUUACGGUAGGCG